UCAGUUGCUGUGUUGACACACUUAUUUAUUGCCUGAGAUGAUGAUGAUGAUACAGAAAUACUUCCACGUAAUAUGUAUAAUCCAUGUUACUCUCCACCAAUCCCCUUCACCUAACCACUAAGGAGGUGCUGAAAGAUAUAGAAGUCAGGGAAGAAACCAACCAUACACUUUAGUUCCUUAGUGACUUUUGAAACUGAGAGUAGAUUGAACUGAAAGUCAGGAAUGUAAAAAACAUUAGAGAUUUCCUUAUUGCUUAAUACAAAAGUGUUUCCUGUGUGUGAUACUGAUACAACACUUCAAGUAGUUAAAUGUACUUUGUUUUCUUCUGUGUUUGGAAGUGCCCUGUGAGUAUGUAGCAUAAGGCUUGAAGUCAUGUGAUUUGUUGCCCUAGUGUCGACAAUCCAUUUUCGAUUGACACAAUGAGACAUAAAAUCAUUCACUUUUCAUAAAAUACUGAUAGCAACUAAUUUGCCUAAUAAGCUUGAUCCUCCUAUGCUUCCUUUGGAUAAGAAAUGAAUAAUCUGCUAAAAUUGUUCAGGAGUAAAGAUAGGAGCAGGAUAUGGAAUUUGCUGGAAUAAAGCAGGUUGAUUUGCUUGUUGUAAUACACUUGAAUUAGAAUAACAUCCUCCUCUACCUUGUUGAGACACAUUAGAAGCUACAUUGUUUUCCCAUAAUAUAUCUGUCUGCACAACUCAUCUCUGGACCACACACUUGAUUUGCAUACUAUGCAGUAUUAAUUCCCUCCUUUUUGGACUUGAAAUUAGGAGGAUAUCCAAUUAGCUUGUAGCAGUUUUCCUUUAUAUGCCCCUUAUAUUAACAAUACUCACACUAACCUAACUCUUCUUUUACUUAUAAUUUCCAAUAUUGUUUAUGUUCUUGCUAUUGUAUGUAGCUGCAUUCUCUAAGACUUCAGAAAUUUGAGCUACUUAUGUUAUACUUGUAAGGUUUCUUUGACUUUCUUAUACAACUAAGAUAGAAUAAGCCUUGUUUAUGCAAGGAAAAUGAGAUAUAUCAUGAUUUGGCUUCUUGGCUGAGAGUAGGACUCAUUCAGACUAGUAAGAAAUUGAAGAAGCUUUUCAAUAAUCAAAGUGUUUCAAAAAGGAAAGCGAGCUUGCUUCUUAUUCCAAUGUUUGAUCUCUUACAUAUCUGCCUAUAUCGUUGUCACCUAACUUGAAGAAAGAGCAUACUUCUUUGAAUCAGGAUAUGGACAACUAGGGCAUAGCAUAAUAGAUUCGAACUCAUCAAGAAGCUCUCCGAGUUUGAAGAAAUAGUCAGUUACAGUCAUAACUCCUUGUGUCAAAGUACUGUUCGGGUAUAGAAUUAUGGAACCAUUCACUUUAUCAAACCUCUCUUUUAUGUCUUCCCAAACUUUAUGAGCACUAGAUGCAUAUAGGACACUAUUUAGCAAACCCGACCUCACAACAUUCAUUAUCCAUAACAUAACAAUAGCAUUAACUUUCUCCCACAAAUCAUGAAGCUCAGGAUCAAACUAAGAUUUAGGAAACCUAUUGUCGAUGCCCCUAUUUUCCAAAAUGGAGUUUGGAAUCAGGUAUACGACAUUCAGGAGGACAACUUUAUUCCCUUGCGAGAAUUGGAUUUUGGAGUUUGAAGGGACGCCGCCUAAUGAUUAUAGUGCAUUAGGACACUUUAAAGAAAAGAUUUGAGAUGAAGAACCAGAGUUUGGGUAAGGGCUAGAAAUUAUCUCGAGGGGAAGGUGUUCGGCACCCCUCAAGAUCCACUAGUGUGGUUCUCGACCAUGCUACAAUUGUGACUUUAAGCAAUAAAGAAGACAAGUAGAAUAUAAAGAAGUGGGACUUCACAAAGUAUUGCAAACAAGUUUAAGAGUUUGAAAAAAGAGAAAGCAAUAGAAAAUUUAGAAAGUUAGUUUAAAAGAAAACAAUUAACAAAAGGGUUAUAAGCAAAGGGGAGAGGAGGUCCUAGGUUUAAAAAUAAUAUGGAUCACAUCAAUGUAAUAUCCAGAUAUCACUCCUCGGAAGAGGGGUCACACGUGAUAUUAGCGCACCGGUCAUCAUAUCCAUAUUCUACCCUUCCCAUCCCGUUAAGGUAUUAAAGCGCGGAAUGUCUCAUUACUUAUUGCAUGCCAGUACUCAUCCCAAUCCUAUCAGUCCCGGAGGAAUUUAGGACUACUAAUCGUAAAGGGAAAAGGGAUAAGGCUUUUGAGAGUUUAAAAAGGGCAAAAUACAAAGGCGACAUUCAAAACACAUAUACAAGUAAAGGGAAA
This 2242-nucleotide long non-coding RNA is filed under the name Nicotiana benthamiana. Its description in RNAcentral is "long non-coding RNA (NBEN_LNC009415)". Lineage: Eukaryota; Viridiplantae; Streptophyta; Magnoliopsida; Solanales; Solanaceae. The record is from RNAcentral.